RNAcentral lists this unclassified non-coding RNA (685 nucleotides) under Bombus terrestris (buff-tailed bumblebee). RNAcentral describes it as "misc RNA ENSBTSG00005021188.1". Lineage: Eukaryota; Metazoa; Arthropoda; Insecta; Hymenoptera; Apidae. The record is from RNAcentral.
CCUGAAAGAUCGUUCACAUUCAGGGCAUUGAUGUGACUUCUCUUGAGGUGCAGGAGGAACAUAAGAAGGAUUAUGAUACAAGUUACAGUGUCGUUUAAGAAGUUGUUUUUGUCUGAAUGAUUGAAAGCAAUGAUCACAUUGAUAUGGUUUUUGGUCAGUAUGAAUUAACAUGUGGCUUUCGAGAUGGCGCUCGGAUAUAGAAGCAUAUGGGCAUAAAUCACAUUUAUAACACUUUUCCCCUUCCCCAGUUUUUGCCACAUACCUAUCUGGGAAUGAUUUUCCACAGCGUUUACAUUUCAAAGGUUUAUCAGAGGUGUGUAAUUUUUGUACAUGAAUUCUGAGAUCUGUUUUUCUCCUACAAGUUACUGGACAUAAUUCACAUUGAAAGACUGGCUUGUUCCCAACUAUAAGAUAUAUUAUUAUAAACAGAAUAGCAAAAAAUUACAUAACAAAAUUUACAACUUUUAACAUGUAAAGUAUCAACGUACCAUUAUGUAUCAAUUUGUGAGCUUUUAAGCUGUUAGACUGGGUAAAUCUUGCUUGACAAAAAUCACACUCGUAUGGUUUUUCUCCCGUAUGUAUGCGCAAAUGGCGUUUUAGCUUGAAAGUAUCAGGACUUGCAUAUGUACAAUGCGGACACUGUAAUGUAAUAAUAAUUUUAUGGUCGUAAUCAACACUUUUUAAG